RNAcentral lists this ribosomal RNA (460 nucleotides) under Pseudostichopus mollis. RNAcentral's name for it is "partial large subunit rRNA". The stretch from base 1 to 358 matches the Rfam family "Bacterial large subunit ribosomal RNA", at positions 2092 to 2645 of the family's 2925-position model. The record is from RNAcentral. Lineage: Eukaryota; Metazoa; Echinodermata; Holothuroidea; Aspidochirotida; Synallactidae.
UGUGGAGCUUAAACUCUAAUUAGAUUAACUAACUAUAUCUUAAAAGUUAUUUUCUAUAAAAAGUUUUGGUUGGGGUAACCCUGGAGAAAAAAUAACCUCCAGAUAAUAAAAAGAUACUAAAUCUUUUAACACUUUUUAAAAACAAAGAACCAGAAAUACUGGUAAACAGAAAAAGUUACCGCAGGGAUAACAGCGUUAUCUUCUCUAAGAGCCCAUAUUGACGAGAAGGAUUGCGACCUCGAUGUUGGAUUGGGGUAACCUAAAGGUGUAACAGCUUUUAAAGGUUGGACUGUUCGUCCAUUAAAACCCUACAUGAUCUGAGUUCAGACCGACGUAAGUCAGGUCAGCUUCUAUCUUCUAAUGAAUUUUUCCUAGUACGAAAGGACCGGAAAAAUAUCUCCUAUAGUUUUUACCAAGAGAUAAUUAUUUUUACAAAAAAAUUUAUUUAAAAAACAUGAAA